GACGAACGCUGGCGGCGCGCCUAACACAUGCAAGUCGAACGGAGCUAUGUUGAAAGCUUGCUGGAUAUAUAGCUUAGUGGCGGACGGGUGAGUAACACGUGAGUAACCUGCCUUUCAGAGUGGAAUAACGUUUGGAAACGAACGCUAAUACCGCAUAAUGUCAGAGGAUGGCAUCGUUCUUUGACCAAAGAUUUAUCGCUGAAAGAUGGGCUCGCGGCCGAUUAGGUAGUUGGUGAGAUAACAGCCCACCAAGCCGACGAUCGGUAGCCGGACUGAGAGGUUGAUCGGCCACAUUGGGACUGAGACACGGCCCAGACUCCUACGGGAGGCAGCAGUGGGGGAUAUUGCACAAUGGGGGGAACCCUGAUGCAGCGACGCCGCGUGAGGGAAGACGGUUUUCGGAUUGUAAAC
RNAcentral lists this ribosomal RNA (411 nucleotides) under uncultured bacterium. RNAcentral's name for it is "bacterial SSU rRNA". It matches the Rfam family "Bacterial small subunit ribosomal RNA", at positions 28 to 430 of the family's 1533-position model. The record is from RNAcentral.